Molecule: ribosomal RNA, 668 nt
Filed under: Streptomyces sanglieri
Lineage: Bacteria; Bacillati; Actinomycetota; Actinomycetes; Kitasatosporales; Streptomycetaceae
Description: bacterial SSU rRNA
Rfam family: Bacterial small subunit ribosomal RNA
Source: RNAcentral
UGGAUUAGUGGCGAACGGGUGAGUAACACGUGGGCAAUCUGCCCUUCACUCUGGGACAAGCCCUGGAAACGGGGUCUAAUACCGGAUAACACUCUGUCCCGCAUGGGACGGGGUUGAAAGCUCCGGCGGUGAAGGAUGAGCCCGCGGCCUAUCAGCUUGUUGGUGGGGUGAUGGCCUACCAAGGCGACGACGGGUAGCCGGCCUGAGAGGGCGACCGGCCACACUGGGACUGAGACACGGCCCAGACUCCUACGGGAGGCAGCAGUGGGGAAUAUUGCACAAUGGGCGAAAGCCUGAUGCAGCGACGCCGCGUGAGGGAUGACGGCCUUCGGGUUGUAAACCUCUUUCAGCAGGGAAGAAGCGAAAGUGACGGUACCUGCAGAAGAAGCGCCGGCUAACUACGUGCCAGCAGCCGCGGUAAUACGUAGGGCGCAAGCGUUGUCCGGAAUUAUUGGGCGUAAAGAGCUCGUAGGCGGCUUGUUGCGUCGGUUGUGAAAGCCCGGGGCUUAACCCCGGGUCUGCAGUCGAUACGGGCAGGCUAGAGUGUGGUAGGGGAGAUCGGAAUUCCUGGUGUAGCGGUGAAAUGCGCAGAUAUCAGGAGGAACACCGGUGGCGAAGGCGGAUCUCUGGGCCAUUACUGACGCUGAGGAGCGAAAGCGUGGGGAGCG